CGAACUGAAAUAAAAUUCAUUCAUCUCAAACAAAAUUACUGUAUUGUAGUCUCUAAUGACCAUUUUAAGUGUUGUCUCCUAAUGACAACUCUCUAAGUUUACAUUGGUUCUUCAUUUAAUACUCCAACAUUGACGGCAUGACUAGUAUGAAGAAAAUAGCGGUGGAGUAUGAGGAGAAAAGGAAACGUAGACUAUUAGAGAAUAAAACAUGAUUUGAUGCUUUGAAUUUGCCUACAAGCACCGUCCAAUUUAUGAGCAUUCUUUCAAAGCCUACGGAAAUAAACA
Molecule: long non-coding RNA, 285 nt
Filed under: Elaeis guineensis (African oil palm)
Lineage: Eukaryota; Viridiplantae; Streptophyta; Magnoliopsida; Arecales; Arecaceae
Description: long non-coding RNA (EGUI_LNC001693)
Source: RNAcentral